UGGGGAAUAUUGCACAAUGGGCGCAAGCCUGAUGCAGCGACGCCGCGUGAGGGAUGAAGGCCUUCGGGUUGUAAACCUCUUUCGUCAGGGAACAAGGCACUGCUUUUUGGUGGUGUUGAGGGUACCUGGAUGAGAAGCGCCGGCUAACUACGUGCCAGCAGCCGCGGUAAUACGUAGGGCGCAAGCGUUGUCCGGAAUUAUUGGGCGUAAAGAGCUCGUAGGCGGCUGGUCGCGUCUGUCGUGAAAACUUCCGGCUCAACCGGGGGCUUGCGGUGGGUACGGGCCGGCUAGAGUGCGGUAGGGGUAACUGGAACUCCUGGUGUAGCGGUGGAAUGCGCAGAUAUCAGGAAGAACACCGAUGGCGAAGGCAGGUUACUGGGCCGUUACUGACGCUGAGGAGCGAAAGCGUGGGGAGCGAACAGGAUUAGAUACCCUGGUAGUCCACGCUGUAAACGUUGGGCACUAGGUGUGAGGCUCCUUUCCGGGGGUUUUGCGCCGUAGCUAACGCAUUAAGUGCCCCGCCUGGGGAGUACGGCCGCAAGGCUA
This 546-nucleotide ribosomal RNA is filed under the name uncultured bacterium. RNAcentral's name for it is "bacterial SSU rRNA". It matches the Rfam family "Bacterial small subunit ribosomal RNA", at positions 355 to 896 of the family's 1533-position model. The record is from RNAcentral.